GGCCAAGAAAUGUCCCUACUUCCCCAUCUUGUAAACCUAAUCCAAAUGGUGACCAGAAGUGCAGUGUGGCAAGGAAGAAAUCUAAUUCCACACCUUAAUUUAGUGAUGCAGAAAAUGCUGAGAAUUCCAAAUUUGAUUCAUUUGAAGGAUGUGUGAAGGGAUUGACAGACGUUGAAUGCCAGUAUUAAAUCUGCUGGAGGUUUUUUUUUUUACAAGAUGAAGAGAGAUAACAACAUCCAAGAUUACCCACGAUUUCCUCAAAUAUGGCUUAAGAAAUAUGGACAAUUAAAACUGUACCUUGAAAACAAGAAUAGAUUUUAUUUAGAAAUAAAAGAUGGGAUGUGGAAUGGAGAUUCAGUUUUCAUUAGGUUCAUUAAAUCUAUAAGGCCAUAAAACAUAAUAUAAAAAGCUUCCAUGAUGCUAUUUAUAUGUACAUUAGAAGGAACUACCAGGUGUUACUGUAGUUCCUCAAUGUGUUGUUUCAACAGUACUAAUUUAAUGCCGAUAUACUCUAGAUAAAGUUUCACAUUGUUAAGCUAUCACUGUUUUCUUGGAAACUGAACUCUUUCCCCUGUCCUCUGUGGCUUUGGCUGUGGCUUUGGAUUUGACCUUACAUUUGACUUUUUAUGUGGUAAUUGACAUGUGCCAGGGCAAUAGUAGACAGGAACCCACCCCCAAAUCUAAGUAUCUCAAGUAAAUCUUAUCUUUCCAAAGUGAAAUGGUAGGCAUUUCCCACCACCCACUCUCAUUCAACACAAGUACCAGAUUUAUCUAGCUAAACUGAUUCCAAACAGUAGAAUUGUAUUGACCUCAACUAAUUUCAAAAUGCUGCCUUUUUAUUCAGUAUAUGUUGAAUACUCCUCACAAUUAAAAAUACAGUCUGUUUUGAAGAUAAAAUUACAAAUCUUGAAAUUAAAAAGGUAAAUAUAUGAAGGAGCCAAAACUAAAUCAAACAUUUGGGAAGCUAGGGCUAGAAGCUAACUUGCAUAAAUUUGCAAAAAAUUUUAUACUUUUUCUGUAAAUACUUUUUUAAAAAAAAACUAGGGAUCACAAUAGCCACCUUUGGAACCCAUUCUGUUAUCAGUCAAUAUUUUUAGAUAGUUAGAACUGUCUUAAGCCUUGAUUUUUGCCAUCUUUUACAACUGCCUUGGUACACAGAAACCUUUAAAAAGGAAGAGACACACCGUAAACUCUUGUUUGCAUGGUCACACACUGAUGCUUACAUGUUCCAGUAUCUAAUAGGACCACAAUAGGCUUGAUAAUCCAAGUCAUUGCUUUCGCAUCUUUGGAAAUCUACAUGGGAACAACCAGACUGAAAGCUACUGAAGCUACUGUGUGUGUGAAUGAACAC
RNAcentral lists this long non-coding RNA (1351 nucleotides) under Heterocephalus glaber (naked mole-rat). RNAcentral describes it as "lncRNA (ENSHGLG00000050466.1)". Lineage: Eukaryota; Metazoa; Chordata; Mammalia; Rodentia; Bathyergidae. The record is from RNAcentral.